ACACCUCAACUCUCACGGUUCGCCGUGACGAGCUUGGACUUUGGAGGCUUUGCUGGCCUGUGGGUCGGCUCCUCUCAAAUGAAUCAGCUUACCGGUGUAUUGGUGGCGUCACAGGUGUGAUAACUAUCUACGCUAUUGACGUGAGGCAGUUCAGCUUCUAACAGUCCAUUGACUUGGACAACUUUUUAUUA
Molecule: unclassified non-coding RNA, 191 nt
Filed under: uncultured Tomentella
Lineage: Eukaryota; Fungi; Basidiomycota; Agaricomycetes; Thelephorales; Thelephoraceae
Description: sequence contains ITS2
Source: RNAcentral